UAAAACGUUAAGGAGAUAGAUAUUUACAAAGAGAUUCUCUCGCUCUCGCUUCCACUCUUUUUCAUAGUUCAUAUUUCUCACAGAUUCACCGAGUUGGUACAAUCGCAUCCAAAUCUUGUAUAUAUUCACACUUUUACCUAUCCAAACCUCUGAUCAGCCAUUUUGCAUCUUUAGCAGUUCUAUAUGGUCACCAGAGCUGAAACAGGGCCAUGUGCUGCCUAGAAAAUAGGUAGUACUGGUAGUACUGGUAGAGCCGAAUUUUUGUUUUGGUUUUGUAAUGGAAAAGGUUUGUUUGGGAAGAAGCCAAGUACCCAAUUAUGUCACCCUUGAGGGAGACUGUGGAUAGUAUUCAUAGUCAAGUGUUAAAGAUUGAGGAUGAUCUCAAGGUAAUAAUUAAUUUUGUCUUGAUUUGAUAUGUUGGUUAUCUAUUAUUUGAAGGCAGAUACAAGGAACCAUUGCUUGUUAGUAAACCAAGCCUUGACAACACUGCACAGUUAAGAUUCUUCGAGAUCAGCUGAGAGAGAUUAUAUAGAAUAAGUUUCUUUACAAUGACCUAUGUGAUUUGGUUAGGUGUUUAUAGUAAAUCAGCUGUUUACUGCACUUGACUACAAUGUGUUUUGUUUUCUAUUUAGCUUAUGACAUAUGAUAUAUGUGGAUUGUGGAUGUCUUAAAGUGUGGGGUUAUCUUCCUUAGCUGGAUGAAUUGCUUGGGAGAAUGCCAAAAAUAGGAAGGAUGAGCAUCUGUGUACAAGCAUAGAGAAUUACAUUUGUAAAGCCAGGAUAUUUCAGAGAAUGAUGGUGGCUAUAUGUCCCCCCGGCGAAUAUGCAAUAGAAGGACUAUUUUCAGAAAAAUCAAAUGUCUUCAAUUUUGGAGUGUUGUUACUAGAGAUAGUUAGUGGAAGAAGAAACACUAGCAUUUAUAAUGAUAAGCAGUCCUUGAGCCUUUUAGGACUUGCCUGGAAACUGUGGAAUGCAGACAACAUUGUAGCCUUAAUAGACCCAAUGAUAUACAAACCCUGCUUUGAAAUGGAGAUUUUGAGAUGCAACAGGUUGGGUUGUUGUGUGUUCAAGAAUUUGCUAAAGAUAGGCCAACUAUAUAUGUUGUUGUUUCCAUUCUUAAAAGUGAGAUUGUUGAUCUGCCCCCUCCAAAGAAAUCAGCAUUCACUGAAAGGAACAUUGCCAUAGAUACGAAGUCCUCUCAACUCAGCCAAAGUAUAUGCUCUUCUAACAAUGUUACUAUUACAAAGGUUCAAGGUCGAUAGCUUGCAUGUGUUCUUGAAAUAAUGACUUUAUUGUUAUAUAUACACUAGUUGAUAAUCUGUGCAAUGCACGAGUUAGUUAAAUAAAAAUCACCUGUAUUUAUUUUGUUUGAA
Long non-coding RNA from Quercus lobata, 1372 nucleotides. RefSeq lists it as uncharacterized. The transcript has 5 exons. The record is from RefSeq and is a predicted model, not a curated record. NCBI's taxonomy places the organism in Eukaryota, Viridiplantae, Streptophyta, Magnoliopsida, Fagales, Fagaceae.